This 116-nucleotide microRNA precursor is filed under the name Anopheles sinensis. RNAcentral describes it as "microRNA mir-12". It matches the Rfam family "mir-12 microRNA precursor family". Lineage: Eukaryota; Metazoa; Arthropoda; Insecta; Diptera; Culicidae. The record is from Rfam by way of RNAcentral.
CCGGGGUGAGUAUUACAUCAGGUACUGGUGUGAUUUUUGAUAUGGCCAUCGUCGGAUAACCGUCCAUCGUUGGGCCGCCAUAGCGACAAUCAGUACUUAUGUUAUACUCUUCCCGU